Molecule: transfer RNA, 74 nt
Filed under: Mollicutes bacterium
Lineage: Bacteria; Bacillati; Mycoplasmatota; Mollicutes
Also listed under: 4 other names
Description: tRNA-Trp
Rfam family: tRNA
About the family: Transfer RNA (tRNA) molecules are approximately 80 nucleotides in length.
Source: RNAcentral
AGGGGCGUGGUUCAGUGGUAGAACAGAGGUCUCCAAAACCUUUGAUGAGGGUUCGAUUCCUUCCGCCCCUGCCA